This 28-nucleotide small RNA is filed under the name Bombyx mori (domestic silkworm). RNAcentral describes it as "ovarian small RNA-25072". Lineage: Eukaryota; Metazoa; Arthropoda; Insecta; Lepidoptera; Bombycidae. The record is from RNAcentral.
UCACAUGUUCAAGGUCAGAUCGCAAUGU